GGGGAUGUGGUGAAAUUGGUAUCACAGCAGUCUCCAAAACUGCCUUUUCAGGUUCAAGUCCUGACAUCCCUG
This 72-nucleotide transfer RNA is filed under the name bacterium. RNAcentral's name for it is "tRNA-Trp". It matches the Rfam family "tRNA". From Rfam's summary of the family: Transfer RNA (tRNA) molecules are approximately 80 nucleotides in length. The record is from RNAcentral.